This 403-nucleotide long non-coding RNA is filed under the name Numida meleagris (helmeted guineafowl). RNAcentral's name for it is "lncRNA (ENSNMEG00000013720.1)". Lineage: Eukaryota; Metazoa; Chordata; Aves; Galliformes; Numididae. The record is from RNAcentral.
AUGUGUGCGACAGUUUGGAAUGACGAAGCAGAGAGGUAUGCUGGCAGGAGAUAUCAAGAAAAACAGCUAGAAAAUCUUAAAUAUCAUACACAGAAUAUCAACUACAGAAGGAGCACACCUACAUAGUUCUUCAUGAUGUAUUUCACUUUCUCAUGCUGCAAAUGAAGAAGCCCUUCACUUCAAGGGAGGCACUGAAUCGGCAGAGCAGGCAGCAAUAGAGGCUUCAGAAACGGGGAAUUGUUGUUUUCUCACUCUGAGGGCAUUUUGCCAGAGAAUUCUGCUCGAGACUCAUGGAAAUUCUUGGACUAAAUGUAUGCAUGCAUGGGACUGGAAAAAUAUAUAUGAAGCGUGUGUUUCUAUAGGAAUCCUAUUCACCUAAACCAUAACAAGAUUUAAAACCGCU